Non-coding RNA from Lupinus albus (white lupine), 192 nucleotides. The record is from the annotation of a GenBank genome assembly. Lineage: Eukaryota; Viridiplantae; Streptophyta; Magnoliopsida; Fabales; Fabaceae.
ACGACCUUACUUGAACAGGAUCUGUUCUAUAGGCUUGUACCAUUGUGUCCUUGAGUUCUAAGGAGACAAGAAUCGAAGUCUGGUUGAUGAGACAUCACCGUGUGACCAGAGCGUGAUUAAAAAGUGGCUUGAUGAGCUCUCUCGAGAGCUUCAUCUUGGGCAAUGGAUGGUCACACGGUUGUCUGACAUACC